UAGGUAUUAAGUGAGUUCAGUAAUUAUAAAAAGAGAAAUCUACUUGCACUGUUUUUGACAAUUUUGCCUGUUCUGCAAAACAAAGAUGUAUACACACAAAUUGUUUGGAAAAAUAUAAAAAAUAUAUAAACAUGUUUAUUGGCAUAUAAAACAUUGUCACACUCAGUUUUCACUGCAAAUAAUUUCCAUUCACAACACUAAUAUUCCUUAACCAUCAUUGUUUGAGCAAAUAACAUCCAUGAAGAUUUAUUUUAUAAAGAAAUCACAUCAUCCAAAAUUUGUAUACAAUGACAUGUACAGUAAUAGUUCUAAUAAAAGCCAGGACUAGAACUCUGAUUGUCAUCACAGCCAUUUCCUUUCUGUCAAAUGUUUUUGUGUAUAACAGGUCCAAAUUAGUUGGUGCUAAUUUGCUAAAGAGCCUCCAAAGUGUGUCCAUCACAUUCCAUUCUUGUCCAGAGUUUCCUAUGGACUACAUGUUAAAGCUUUUUCUCCGGAUGCGUAUAUAUUACACCAUCAAGUUCGAAAACAGAAGACUGGCAACUCCAACUAAAAAAGGAAGAAAGAGCAGAAAGUACAUUAAAGUUAGCCAUCUAUAAAUAGCCGCAUAUAGUCUCUUUAUAAACUUAAACAUUUCGAAUACUAUCUGGGCUGCAUCUGAAUAAGUUGGGCAAAAUUUAGUAGAUAAAUAUCUAAUUCAAGAAAACAGUGAACUUAAAAAGACAUGUUUAUUAAACUUGGCAGAG
Paramuricea clavata is the source of this 743-nucleotide non-coding RNA. The record is from the annotation of a GenBank genome assembly. NCBI's taxonomy places the organism in Eukaryota, Metazoa, Cnidaria, Anthozoa, Malacalcyonacea, Plexauridae.